GCAGGGAAUCUUCCACAAUGGGCGAAAGCCUGAUGGAGCGACACCGCGUGGGGGAUGAAGGCCUUAGGGUCGUAAACCCCUUUUCUCAGGGAAGAGCAAGGACGGUACCUGAGGAAUAAGCAUCGGCUAACUACGUGCCAGCAGCCGCGGUAAUACGUGGGAUGCAAGCGUUGUCCGGAAUUACUGGGCGUAAAGGGUCCGUAGGCGGUUUGGUAAGUCUCCUGUGAAAACUUCGGGCUUAACCCGAAGAGGUCGGGGGAUACUGCUGAACUUGAGACUGUCAGAGGCAAGCGGAAUUCCCGGUGUAGUGGUGAAAUGCGUAGAUAUCGGGAGGAACUCCAGUGGCGAAAGCGGCUUGCUGGGACAGUUCUGACGCUGAGGGACGAAAGCGUGGGUAGCAAACCGG
This 406-nucleotide ribosomal RNA is filed under the name uncultured bacterium. RNAcentral's name for it is "bacterial SSU rRNA". It matches the Rfam family "Bacterial small subunit ribosomal RNA", at positions 354 to 776 of the family's 1533-position model. The record is from RNAcentral.